AUUAUGCCCGUGCGGUGUAGAAAGAAGAGUUGCCAUGUUCUGGAAAGAACGCCGAGUACUCAUCGUAUGAGCGUCGUGGGAGCUGAAUUCUGAAGGAAGGCAGUUUUUUUCAAAACUUCUUCCAGUGCAAGAAGGGCGAGACUGUGCAGGCGCAUGACGUCAACAGGACCGCAUGGAGAGUUUAAAAAGGAGACCACCCUAUACAGCGGGCAGCGGAGUGAGCGGUAGCAGAGCGUAGGGCUUUGGCUUCAACGGGCUUCGGCGGUAAACAGGAACAGGCGACAGCGUGGCAUCAACUCUUUUUUUCUCCCCCCCACCCCUUUCGCGAAUCGGCCCGGACAGACAGGAACAGCAGGGCUCUCACAGCUAACAGUACAAGCUAACGAUUUUAAAAGUUCGUCCGUUUGGUGAGGUAGGUGGCUUGCAUUCACAGGUAUGACAGGCAUUCGAGAGGAUGACACUCAGCCUGAGGGUGACUACCCCACCAUUGAGCCUGGAGAUUUUGUCCUGAUUAAGAACUGGAAUCGUAAGAAGUUGGAACAGAGGUGGAAAGGACCGUACCAAGUGCUACUGACAACACCUAUUGCAGUGAAGGUGGAAGGGCAGCUCCAGUGGAUACAUCGAACGGACUAUAAACUCGUUACUGGCGGAACUGAUAAGGAGUGAAAAAUGCAUUGGUUAAUGAUGAUUUAAAUGACCCUAAGGGGACCUGCCCCUGUUUCGGGAGGCCCCCAUGUUAACACUUUUCUGUCCCUCCUACGCUAAGCAAGUAGAAUUUGGAGUAUGUUGGAUAUGUUUUGUAUCAUGUUGCAGAAGCGACAAUCUGUUCUUAAAAGUUAUCAUGUAACGAUAAAAAGGAGGGAAUGAUAAAGUUUAAGGGAAUGGGGAAUUCUCAAAUCCCUGUAAACAAUGAAUUAAGUACUGACUAUGUCUGUGACCGCAGUGUGUUUGAAUAAUGAAUCACAGAUGCCUUCUUUGGAGCAAGAUGAUUAAAGUUCGCCCAGAUCCACAUCAGAUGUCUCUGGGCUUUUCACACCUUUUGAUUUUAACAAAAAGCAGUCCCUGAUGGAAAUUAGACAGAACAUUCCUUUCUUAAUUAAAGCAUAAAUUUGACGGAUGUUCUUAUCUUUGUAAUGAAGUUGUGGCUCCAGCAAACCAGGUAGGACAUUCCUUUCUUUAAGUAAGAUGGUUGGAGUGUCUAACAAAUUGAUUGUACUUUUGUAUAAAUAGUCCAUUGACUUGACCGGAAUGGUUAUCAAACUGAUUGUUCUUUUGUAUCGGUGGCCUUAUAACUUCUGACAAUUCUGACAUUGGGCAGUGAACUUGUAAACCGCCGGGGAGAUGAGAAAGGGUCUCUCCCUGAUGUCGGGUCUAAGUUCACUCACCGGCUGAGCUCGAAGAAAUAAA
Long non-coding RNA from Mobula hypostoma (lesser devil ray), 1407 nucleotides. RefSeq lists it as uncharacterized. The transcript has 3 exons. The record is from RefSeq and is a predicted model, not a curated record. NCBI's taxonomy places the organism in Eukaryota, Metazoa, Chordata, Chondrichthyes, Myliobatiformes, Myliobatidae.